CUACGGGUCGCUCCAGUGGGGAAUAUUGCACAAUGGGCGCAACCCUGAUGCAGCCAUGCCGCGUGUGUGAAGAAGGCCUUCGGGUUGUAAAGUACUUUCAGCGGGGAGGAAGGUAGUAUAGUUAACACCUGUGCUCAUUGACGUUACCCGCAGAAGAAGCACCGGCUAACUCCGUGCCAGCAGCCGCGGUAAUACGGAGGGUGCAAGCGUUAAUCGGAAUUACUGGGCGUAAAGCGCAUGCAGGCGGUUUGUUAAGUCAGAUGUGAAAGCCCCGGGCUUAACCUGGGAAUUGCAUUUGAACUGGUAGGCUAGAGUCUCGUAGAGGGGGGUAGAAUUUCAGGUGUAGCGGUGAAAUGCGUAGAGAUCUGGAGGAAUACCGGUGGCGAAGGCGGCCCCCUGGACGAAGACUGACGCUCAGGUGCGAAAGCGUGGGGAGCAAACAGGAUUAGAUACCCUCGUAGUC
This 463-nucleotide ribosomal RNA is filed under the name uncultured bacterium. Its description in RNAcentral is "partial 16S ribosomal RNA". It matches the Rfam family "Bacterial small subunit ribosomal RNA", at positions 339 to 795 of the family's 1533-position model. The record is from RNAcentral.